UCGAGAAUCUUCCGCAAUGGGCGAAAGCCUGACGGAGCGACACCGCGUGCAGGAUGAAGGCCUUCGGGUUGUAAACUGCUGUCAGGUUCUAGGAACGACCUGGCGUGAACAACGCCAUGUUUGACCAAGACCAAAGGAAGCAACGGCUAACUCUGUGCCAGCAGCCGCGGUAAGACAGAGGUUGCAAACGUUGUUCGGAAUUACUGGGCAUAAAGCGCACGUAGGCGGUCCGUUAAGUCAUGUGUGAAAUCCCCCGGCUCAACCGGGGAAUUGCGCCUGAUACUGGCGGGCUCGAGGUCGGUAGGGGUGAGCGGAACUCCAGGUGGAGCGGUGAAAUGCGUAGAUAUCUGGAGGAACACCGGUGGCGAAAGCGGCUCACUGGACCGAAACUGACGCUGAG
This 400-nucleotide ribosomal RNA is filed under the name uncultured bacterium. Its description in RNAcentral is "bacterial SSU rRNA". It matches the Rfam family "Bacterial small subunit ribosomal RNA", at positions 355 to 750 of the family's 1533-position model. The record is from RNAcentral.